This 396-nucleotide long non-coding RNA is filed under the name Gallus gallus (chicken). The record is from RNAcentral. Lineage: Eukaryota; Metazoa; Chordata; Aves; Galliformes; Phasianidae.
GCUGUCACUUGUAGAACAGAUGUACCCAUUUCAGACAUCUCUGGCACAGUAACAAUGUAUGGUCCAUCUGUAAAUUUUGGUGCAUUGUCAUUGAUAUCCUGUACUUUGAUAAUGAAUUCAGAUUCAGGCUCAAGUGGCUUGUUUGUCCUUCUAUCAAUAGCUUGGGCAUGAAGCACAUAAUGUGUCUUCUGUUCUCGAUCUAGGCUUUUGGUUGAAUGGAUGUCUCCCGUCGUGUCAUCAAUAAUAAAUAUAGUUCCUGCUCCUUCUCCAGUAAGAAUAUAUUUGACUGAUCCAUCACCUUUGUCGGAAUUGGAGUGCAGCUUUCCUACAUAUUGAGGAUCUGGUCCCAUGUGUUCUUCUAAAACAAAGAACUGAUUCCACACCCAUCCACGCUUG